This 253-nucleotide ribosomal RNA is filed under the name uncultured bacterium. RNAcentral describes it as "partial 16S ribosomal RNA". It matches the Rfam family "Bacterial small subunit ribosomal RNA", at positions 524 to 776 of the family's 1533-position model. The record is from RNAcentral.
UACGUAGGGUGCGAGCGUUAAUCGGAAUUACUGGGCGUAAAGCGUGCGCAGGCGGUGCACCAAGCUCGAUGUGAAAGCCCCGGGCUUAACCUGGGAAUUGCAUUGAGGACUGGUGUGCUCGAGUGCGGCAGAGGGGGGUGGAAUUCCACGUGUAGCAGUGAAAUGCGUAGAGAUGUGGAGGAACACCGAUGGCGAAGGCAGCCCCCUGGGCCGACACUGACGCUCAUGCACGAAAGCGUGGGGAGCAAACAGG